This 491-nucleotide ribosomal RNA is filed under the name Veillonella parvula. Its description in RNAcentral is "bacterial SSU rRNA". It matches the Rfam family "Bacterial small subunit ribosomal RNA", at positions 28 to 489 of the family's 1533-position model. The record is from RNAcentral. Lineage: Bacteria; Bacillati; Bacillota; Negativicutes; Veillonellales; Veillonellaceae.
GACGAACGCUGGCGGCGUGCUUAACACAUGCAAGUCGAACGAAGAGCGAUGGAAGCUUGCUUCUAUCAAUCUUAGUGGCGAACGGGUGAGUAACGCGUAAUCAACCUGCCCUUCAGAAGGGGACAACAGUUGGAAACGACUGCUAAUACCGCAUACGAUCUAAUCUCGGCAUCGAGGAAAGAUGAAAGGUGGCCUCUAUGUAUAAGCUAUCACUGAAGGAGGGGAUUGCGUCUGAUUAGCUAGUUGGAGGGGUAACGGCCCACCAAGGCGAUGAUCAGUAGCCGGUCUGAGAGGAGAACGGCCACAUUGGGACUGAGACACGGCCCAGACUCCUACGGGAGGCAGCAGUGGGGAAUCUUCCGCAAUGGACGAAAGUCUGACGGAGCAACGCCGCGUGAGUGAUGACGGCCUUCGGGUUGUAAAGCUCUGUUAAUCGGGACGAAAGGCCUUCUUGCGAAUAGUGAGAAGGAUUGACGGUACCGGAAUAGAAA